UUACCUGGUUUGAUCCUGCCAGUAGUCAUAUGCUUGUCUCAAAGAUUAAGCCAUGCAUGUCUAAGUACAGGCCGAUUGUAAGGCGAAACCGCGAAUGGCUCAUUAAAUCAGUUAUGGUUCAUUGGAUCUUACCUUAUCCUACUUGGAUAACUGUGGCAAUUCUAGAGCUAAUACAUGCAAGCAAGCCCCGACCGGCGACGGGAAGGGCGCUUUUAUUAGAUCAAAACCAAUCGGGCCUCUCGGGGCCCGUCAACACAGUGGUGACUCUGGAUAACUUUGUGCUGAGCGCACGGCCUGCGUGCCGGCGCCGCAUCCUUCAAGUGUCUGCCUUAUCAGCUUUCGAUGGUAGGCCAUGCGCCUACCAUGGCUAUAACGGGUAACGGGGAAUCAGGGUUCGAUUCCGGAGAGGGAGCCUGAGAGACGGCUACCACAUCUAAGGAAGGCAGCAGGCACGCAAUUUACCCACUCCCGGCACGGGGAGGUAGUGACGAAAAAUAACGAUGCGAGACUCAUCCGAGGCCUCGCAAUCGGAAUGAGUACACUUUAAAUCCUUGCCACGAGGAUCUAUUGGAGGGCAAGUCUGGUGCCAGCAGCCGCGGUAAUUCCAGCUCCAAUAGCGUAUAUUAAAGUUGUUGCGGUUAAAAAGCUCGUAGUUGGAUUCGAGUCGCGGAGCGACGGUACACCGCCCGGUGCUUACCGUUCGUGUUUCCGGACGUAUGUGUCGGCGUGGCACGGGGUGCUCUUCACCGAGUGUCCCGCGGCCGCCGACGAGUUUACUUUGAAAAAAUUAGAGUGCUCAGAGCAGGCCGUACACACUUACUGAGUUACGUGCCCGAAUAGUCUUGCAUGGAAUAAUGGAACAGGACCUCGGUUCUGCUUUCCGUUGGUUCUCGGAGCCCGAGGUAAUGACUGAUGGGGACAGUCGGGGGCAUUCGUAUUGCGACGUUAGAGGUGAAAUUCUUGGAUCGUCGCAAGACGGACUACUGCGAAGGCAUUUGCCAAGUAUGUUUUCAUUAAUCAAGAACGAAAGUUAGAGGUUCGAAGGCGAUCAGAUACCGCCCUAGUUCUAACCAUAAACGAUGCCAACCAGCGAUCCGCCGGCGUUAUUCCCAUGACUCGGCGGGCAGCUUCCGGGAAACCAAAGUUUUUGGGUUCCGGGGGAAGUAUGGUUGCAAAGCUGAAACUUAAAGGAAUUGACGGAAGGGCACCACCAGGAGUGGAGCCUGCGGCUUAAUUUGACUCAACACGGGAAACCUCACCAGGCCCGGACACCGAAAGGAUUGACAGAUUGAGAGCUCUUUCUCGAUUCGGUGGGUGGUGGUGCAUGGCCGUCUUAGUUGGUGGAGCGAUUUGUCUGGUUAAUUCCAUAGAA
Molecule: ribosomal RNA, 1372 nt
Filed under: Clamousella sp. 3 ABI-2012
Lineage: Eukaryota; Metazoa; Arthropoda; Malacostraca; Bathynellacea; Bathynellidae
Description: SSU rRNA
Rfam family: Eukaryotic small subunit ribosomal RNA
Source: RNAcentral